This 425-nucleotide ribosomal RNA is filed under the name uncultured bacterium. RNAcentral's name for it is "partial 16S ribosomal RNA". It matches the Rfam family "Bacterial small subunit ribosomal RNA", at positions 354 to 796 of the family's 1533-position model. The record is from RNAcentral.
GUGGGGAAUAUUGGACAAUGGGCGAAAGCCUGAUCCAGCAAUGCCGCGUGAGUGAAGAAGGCCUUCGGGUUGUAAAGCUCUUUUACCCGGGAAGAUAAUGACUGUACCGGGAGAAUAAGCCCCGGCUAACUCCGUGCCAGCAGCCGCGGUAAUACGGAGGGGGCUAGCGUUGUUCGGAAUUACUGGGCGUAAAGCGCACGUAGGCGGUCUUUUAAGUCAGAGGUGAAAGCCCGGGGCUCAACUCCGGAAUUGCCUUUGAAACUGGGAGACUUGAACACGGGAGAGGUGAGUGGAAUUCCGAGUGUAGAGGUGAAAUUCGUAGAUAUUCGGAGGAACACCAGUGGCGAAGGCGGCUCACUGGACCGUUGUUGACGCUGAGGUGCGAAAGCGUGGGGAGCAAACAGGAUUAGAUACCCGGGUAGUCC